CGCUCCUUGAUUUUAAUUAAUAAGGAGUCGGACCUGCCCAGUGAUAAGUAUUUAACGGCCGCGGUACUCUGACCGUGCAAAGGUAGCAUAAUCAUUUGCCCUAUAAUUGAGGGCUAGUAUGAAUGGUUUGACAAGAACAAUACUGUCUCUUUCAAAAUUUUUAGAAUUUAUUCUUUAGGUGAAGAAACCUAAAUAAAAUUAAAAGACAAGAAGACCCUAUCGAGCUUAAACUCUUUUUAUAAAAUAAGAAAAAUUAAUAAUAUUUUUUGUUAUAAAAAAUUUUGGUUGGGGCGACUAAGGAACAAAAAAAGCUUCUUUGUUUAAUAAAGACAAGUGUGUAUUGAUCCAUAAAAUCUUGAUUAAAAGAAUUAGUUACCGUAGGGAUAACAGCAUAAUCUUUUUUAAGAGUUCUUAUCGAAAAAAAGGUUUGUGACCUCGAUGUUGGACUAAAAUUUCCUAAUAGAUGCAGACGUCUUUAAGGG
Molecule: ribosomal RNA, 482 nt
Filed under: Melarhaphe neritoides
Lineage: Eukaryota; Metazoa; Mollusca; Gastropoda; Littorinimorpha; Littorinidae
Description: partial 16S ribosomal RNA
Rfam family: Bacterial large subunit ribosomal RNA
Source: RNAcentral